RNAcentral lists this transfer RNA (64 nucleotides) under Coleoptera sp. 2 AH-2016. RNAcentral's name for it is "tRNA-Asp". Lineage: Eukaryota; Metazoa; Arthropoda; Insecta; Coleoptera. The record is from RNAcentral.
AAAAAUUUAGUUAAAAUAAUAACGUUGACUUGUCGAGCCAAAAUCGCUUUGUAGGCAAUUUUUA